CCUACGGGGGGCAGCAGUGGGGAAUAUUUCACAAUGGGGGAAACCCUGAUGCAGCGACGCCGCGUGAGCGAUGAAGUAUUUCGGUAUGUAAAGCUCUAUCAGCAGGGAAGAAAAUGACGGUACCUGACUAAGAAGCCCCGGCUAACUACGUGCCAGCAGCCGCGGUAAUACGUAGGGGGCAAGCGUUAUCCGGAUUUACUGGGUGUAAAGGGAGCGUAGACGGCGGUGCAAGUCAGAUGUGAAAGCCCGGGGCUCAACCCCGGGACUGCAUUUGGAACUGUGCUGCUAGAGUGUCGGAGAGGCAGGCGGAAUUCCUGGUGUAGCGGUGAAAUGCGUAGAUAUUAGGAGGAACACCAGUGGCGAAGGCGGGCUGCUGGACGAUGACUGACGUUGAGGCUCGAAGGCGUGGGGAGCGAACGGGAUUAGAUACCCGAGUAGUC
RNAcentral lists this ribosomal RNA (440 nucleotides) under uncultured bacterium. RNAcentral's name for it is "partial 16S ribosomal RNA". It matches the Rfam family "Bacterial small subunit ribosomal RNA", at positions 338 to 795 of the family's 1533-position model. The record is from RNAcentral.